RNAcentral lists this ribosomal RNA (497 nucleotides) under uncultured bacterium. RNAcentral describes it as "partial 16S ribosomal RNA". It matches the Rfam family "Bacterial small subunit ribosomal RNA", at positions 28 to 507 of the family's 1533-position model. The record is from RNAcentral.
GAUGAACGCUGGCGGCGUGCCUAAUACAUGCAAGUCGAGCGAACAGACGAGGAGCUUGCUCCUCUGACGUUAGCGGCGGACGGGUGAGUAACACGUGGAUAACCUUCCUAUAAGACUGGGAUAACUUCGGGAAACCGGAGCUAAUACCGGAUAAUAUAUUGAACCGCAUGGUUCAAUAGUUAAAGACGGUUUUGCUGUCACUUAUAGAUGGAUCCGCGCCGCAUUAGCUAGUUGGUAAGGUAACGGCUUACCAAGGCAACGAUGCGUAGCCGACCUGAGAGGGUGAUCGGCCACACUGGAACUGAGACACGGUCCAGACUCCUACGGGAGGCAGCAGUAGGGAAUCUUCCGCAAUGGGCGAAAGCCUGACGGAGCAACGCCGCGUGAGUGAUGAAGGUCUUCGGAUCGUAAAACUCUGUUAUUAGGGAAGAACAAAUGUGUAAGUAACUAUGCACGUCUUGACGGUACCUAAUCAGAAAGCCACGGCUAACUACGUG